UCCCUGGUAGUCCAGUGGUUAGGACUCUGUGCUCUCACUGCCAAAGGCACAGGUUCAAUCCCUGGUCGGGGAA
Molecule: transfer RNA, 73 nt
Filed under: Bos taurus (domestic cattle)
Lineage: Eukaryota; Metazoa; Chordata; Mammalia; Artiodactyla; Bovidae
Also listed under: 4 other names
Rfam family: tRNA
About the family: Transfer RNA (tRNA) molecules are approximately 80 nucleotides in length. Their secondary structure includes four short double-helical elements and three loops (D, anti-codon, and T loops).
Source: Rfam by way of RNAcentral